This 499-nucleotide ribosomal RNA is filed under the name uncultured bacterium. Its description in RNAcentral is "partial 16S ribosomal RNA". It matches the Rfam family "Bacterial small subunit ribosomal RNA", at positions 30 to 523 of the family's 1533-position model. The record is from RNAcentral.
AUUGAACGCUGGCGGAAUGCUUACACAUGCAAGUCGAACGGCAGCACGGACUUCGGUCUGGUGGCGAGUGGCGAACGGGUGAGUAAUGUAUCGGAACGUGCCCAGUCGUGGGGGAUAACGUAGUGAAAAUUACGCUAAUACCGCAUACGAUCUAUGGAUGAAAGCGGGGGAUCGCAAGACCUCGCGCGAUUGGAGCGGCCGAUAUCAGAUUAGGUAGUUGGGGGGGUAAAGGCCCACCAAGCCAACGAUCUGUAGCUGGUCUGAGAGGACGACCAGCCACACUGGAACUGAGACACGGUCCAGACUCCUACGGGAGGCAGCAGUGGGGAAUUUUGGACAAUGGGCGAAAGCCUGAUCCAGCCAUUCCGCGUGCAGGAUGGAGGCCCUCGGGUUGUAAACUGCUUUUGUACGGAACGAAACGGCCCUUUCUAAUACAGGGGGCUAAUGACGGUACCGUAAGAAUAAGCACCGGCUAACUACGUGCCAGCCGCCGCAGUAA